GCGAGCUCUUCGGAGCUAGCGGCGGACGGGUUAGUAACGCGUGGGAACGUGCCCUUCACUGCGGAAUAGCCACUGGAAACGGUGAGUAAUACCGCAUACGCCCUUCGGGGGAAAGAUUUAUCGGUGAAGGAUCGGCCCGCGUUAGAUUAGAUAGUUGGUGGGGUAACGGCCUACCAAGUCUACGAUCUAUAGCUGGUUUUAGAGGAUGAUCAGCAACACUGGGACUGAGACACGGCCCAGACUCCUACGGGAGGCAGCAGUGGGGAAUCUUGGACAAUGGGCGCAAGCCUGAUCCAGCCAUGCCGCGUGAGUGAUGAAGGCCUUAGGGUCGUAAAGCUCUUUCGCCAGAGAUGAUAAUGACAGUAUCUGGUAAAGAAACCCCGGCUAACUCCGUGCCAGCAGCCGCGGUAAUACGGAGGGGGUUAGCGUUGUUCGGAAUUACUGGGCGUAAAGCGCACGUAGGCGGAUCAGAAAGUUGGGGGUGAAAUCCCGGGGCUCAACCCCGGAACUGCCUCCAAAACUCCUGGUCUUGAGUUCGAGAGAGGUGAGUGGAAUUCCGAGUGUAGAGGUGAAAUUCGUAGAUAUUCGGAGGAACACCAGUGGCGAAGGCGGCUCACUGGCUCGAUACUGACGCUGAGGUGCGAAAGUGUGGGGAGCAAACAGGAUUAGAUACCCUGGUAGUCCACACCGUAAACGAUGAAUGCCAGUCGUCGGGUAGCAUGCUAUUCGGUGACACACCUAACGGAUUAAGCAUUCCGCCUGGGGAGUACGGUCGCAAGAUUAAAACUC
RNAcentral lists this ribosomal RNA (789 nucleotides) under Rhodobacterales bacterium HOT5F3. RNAcentral describes it as "bacterial SSU rRNA". It matches the Rfam family "Bacterial small subunit ribosomal RNA", at positions 66 to 902 of the family's 1533-position model. Lineage: Bacteria; Pseudomonadati; Pseudomonadota; Alphaproteobacteria; Rhodobacterales. The record is from RNAcentral.